Molecule: ribosomal RNA, 500 nt
Filed under: uncultured bacterium
Lineage: Bacteria
Description: partial 16S ribosomal RNA
Rfam family: Bacterial small subunit ribosomal RNA
Source: RNAcentral
AUUGAACGCUGGCGGAAUGCUUUACACAUGCAAGUCGAACGGCAGCACGGACUUCGGUCUGGUGGCGAGUGGUGAACGGGUGAGUAAUGUAUCGGAACGUGCCCAGUCGUGGGGGAUAACGUAGUUAAAAUUACGCUAAUACCGCAUACGAUCUAUGGAUGAAAGCGGGGGAUCGCAAGACCUCGCGCGAUUGGAGCGGCCGAUAUCAGAUUAGGUAGUUGGUGGGGUAAAGGCCCACCAAGCCAACGAACUGUAGCUGGUCUGAGAGGAGGAGCAGCCACAAUGGAACUGAGACACGGUCCAGACUCCUACGGGAGGCAGCAGUGGAGAAUUUUGGACAAUGGGCGCAAGCCUGAUCCAGCCAGUCCGCGUGAGUGAAGAAGGCCUUCGGGUUGUAAAGCUCUUUCGCAAGGGAAGAAAACUUAGCCACUAACAUUUGUUGAGGUUGACGGUACCUUGAUAAGAAGCACCGGCUAACUACGUGCCAGCCGCCGCGGUAA